AUACGUAGGGGGCGAGCGUUGUCCGGAAUGAUUGGGCGUAAAGGGCGCGUAGGCGGCCCGGUAAGUCUGGAGUGAAAGUCCUGUUUUUAAGAUGGGAAUUGCUUUGGAUACUGUCGGGCUUGAGUGCAGGAGAGGUAAGUGGAAUUCCCAGUGUAGCGGUGAAAUGCGUAGAGAUUGGGAGGAACACCAGUGGCGAAGGCGACUUACUGGACUGUAACUGACGCUGAGGCGCGAAAGUGUGGGGAGCAAACAGGAUUAGAUACCCUGGUAGUCCACACUGUAAACGAUGAAUGCUAGGUGUAGGGGGUAUCGACCCCUUCUGUGCCGCAGUCAACACAAUAAGUAUUCCGCCUGGGGAGUACGGCCGCAAGGUUGAAACUCAAAGGAAUUGACGGGG
This 397-nucleotide ribosomal RNA is filed under the name uncultured bacterium. RNAcentral's name for it is "partial 16S ribosomal RNA". It matches the Rfam family "Bacterial small subunit ribosomal RNA", at positions 523 to 918 of the family's 1533-position model. The record is from RNAcentral.